CCGUAAGCCGCUUGGAUGAUAUAUUGAUUCGGCUGUUAGCGGCGAUUCGUGGGUUUAUCGCUCGAGAGUUGGAGUAUCCCGUUCGGGAGUUUAGCGCAUUCCCCUGCUUGCAGUUCGUACGAUUGGAGUCUAAAAGGAAUGGAGUUUGUAUUAUUGCGAGAGGGGAGGAUUCACUAAACGGCGGUUUUGACUAUUUGAUGCUGAGGGUGCCGUUACAA
Pelobates cultripes (western spadefoot toad) is the source of this 218-nucleotide non-coding RNA. NCBI's taxonomy places the organism in Eukaryota, Metazoa, Chordata, Amphibia, Anura, Pelobatidae. The record is from the annotation of a GenBank genome assembly.